UACGAAGGGGGCUAGCGUUGUUCGGAAUUACUGGGCGUAAAGCGUGCGCAGGCGGCUUCUCAAGUCAGGGGUGAAAGCCCAGAGCUCAACUCUGGAAUUGCCUUUGAGACUGAGUGGCUUGAGUACGAGAGAGGUGAGUGGAAUUCCCAGUGUAGAGGUGAAAUUCGUAGAUAUUGGGAAGAACACCGGUGGCGAAGGCGGCCAUCUGGGACAACACUGACGCUGAAGCACGAAAGCGUGGGGGAGCAAACAGG
Molecule: ribosomal RNA, 254 nt
Filed under: uncultured bacterium
Lineage: Bacteria
Description: partial 16S ribosomal RNA
Rfam family: Bacterial small subunit ribosomal RNA
Source: RNAcentral